Molecule: microRNA precursor, 67 nt
Organism: Monodelphis domestica (gray short-tailed opossum)
Lineage: Eukaryota; Metazoa; Chordata; Mammalia; Didelphimorphia; Didelphidae
Source: Ensembl
AGUUCACAUCUUUCUCCACAGCCUAGAGAUCUAUCCCUGCAGAGGUGUAGGGGAAGAUAUGAAUUGA